AAAGAUUUGAUUGCAACACUGAAAGCCCUUGCAAAGAGAAAGCACAAAUCAGGAAAUGGCAAACAUGUGAAGAUCUUGUAUCAAUUCAAAAUAUGCUCUUUUUUUUACAGCAAUGAUUGAUACAAUUGGCUAACAAUCCUAAAAAGGCUGAAAUCAAAGAUUCAAAAAAAAAAGGAGGCCAAUGAGAUAUUAAACCCAAAAAACAUCAAGUUCAACCAAAUCAGAUUUGACAACAAAUUAAAUGGAUGAAAGAUCUUCAUAUAUGGUCUUGAUACCUGGCCUCUCAGAUACAGAUCUUAUGCACCGUAGUGCUAGUCCAAGGACCUCCUUCAUUCCCUUUUCAACUGCUGGAUUUGACAUUUCUGGCAUCAGUGCAGGAUCAAAGCAAUCUGAGCCACGACCCUCUGUCACUCUUAACCGCACCCAAUCAGUCAAAUCAACACCUCCCUCUUCCCCAGAAAUCACGUCACCAGCACACCUGCCAGUUAAAAGCUCCAAUAGUAUUACUCCAAAUGCAUAGACAUCUGACUUAAAGGAGGGAAUUGGUUUCUUGGAUGCAGCCAACUCUGGUGCACGAUAACCCAAUACCCCAGCAUCAAGUAUCUGUUCAAUGGUGCCAGCUUGAGUCAUUAGUCGAUGGAGGCAGUAAUCAGCAACACGAGCAUUGAGAUCAGGCCCAUCUAGCAGUAUGUUUGUUGCUUUAAGGUUCCCAUGUGGAACAGCACGAUCAAAAUGGAGAUAGUUGAGGCCACGUGCAACAUCAACUGCUAUUUUGAGCCUCUGUGCCCAGGUUAACGGUGGACCUCUUCUUCCCGGUCGAUCAUAAAGAAAGCUUGAAAGACUUCCAGGAGAGAUAUAAUCCGACAGAAUAAGCUUCUCAUGUUGUGUAGGUCCCCAGUAGUAUCCUCUGAGACCCACCACAUUUGGAUGCCUGAUGUUUGCAAACUUUUUAGCUUCCUUAGCAAACUCCUUUUUCUGUUUUGCCACCCCUUCUCUCAGCCAUUUCACAGUCAAGAACAUCCCAUUAUCCAAUGUUGCCCUGUAUGAAGUCCCAUGACUGCUCCUGCCCAAGACCUCAGCUGGCGCCCUUGACAGCUCCUCAGGUGUCAUUGUGAUUGUAUCAUCAAGAAAAUAAAGCUCACCGACUAAUCGAUCCGGUGACCUUACAUCCAAUCUUGCCAGCGUUUCAGCCGUGACUGAAUCCCCUGAUUCUGGUGACCAAGACAAAUGGCUGUGCUUUGAUGGUGAGAACCCAGUAACAGCAGCCAUUUUGUCAUCUGGACUGAUAAUCUCUGAUGACGAACCUUUUCGCGAUGCCACAAGAUCCUCUGCUGAAACAACCAAGGCACCUCCACUUUCUGUUCCCCUAAUACCAGAUGGGUUGGUUGGAGUACGCCUGAGGACAGCUUUGCUUGUGACAUGAUCUGAUGGUGGUCUCCUUGAUAUACGAAUGUAAUGUAUGAAGAUAGCAAGCAUGAUGAGAAUGAUCACUGCAAUUACACAUGAGACUAUUACUACCACCUUGACAAUAGUGUUGAUUGGUUUCCUCCUAGAAUUUUCAGCUGGAAAUUCGUUUGAUCCGGAAGGUCCACUAGGAAGAUGCAAUCUGGAAUUUCCAGGAUAGAAAGAAGAACUAGGGAACCUCCUCAGGUUUUCUGGGACAACCCCAGAAAGAUCAUUGUAUGAAACAUUAAAGCUUCCAAGGCUAUUAGACAAGUUGGGUAGAGGACCAGAGAAAUGAUUUUGGGAUAAAUCUAACAUGCUUAGUGAGGUCAUGUCAGCCAUGGAAGUUGGCAGAGAUCCUGAUAAAUUAUUGCCUGCAAGAUUGAGCACUUGAAGUCCGGUCAGUGAAACAAAUCCAUCAGGAAAAUAACCACCAAGUUUGUUAUGAGAAAGAUCAAUAAAUUGAAGAUUGGAUUCACUAUUAGGACGAGAAAAUUCAAUAGCACCACUGAGCAAAUUAUUUUCAAGGUGGAGUUCUUGCAAGGUAGGCAAUGUUAGUAAAUCUGUCAAAAGAACUCCAUCUAACUGGUUGGAACUGAGAUCUAGGACUCUAAGCUUUGGAUACUGAGCAACAACUUUUGGGAGAGCACUAGUGAGAGAAUUAUGGGAGAGGUUGAGAUAAUUUAAACGCAAAAAUUGAGGAAGUAAUUCAGGGAAUGAUCCUGUCAAUCGAUUAUUGCUGAGAUCAAGAUAUUCAAUGUUCCCCCACUUCCCUAUUCUGGUUAGAUUUCCUUCAAAUUGAUUGUUUGAUAGAUCAAGCACAGCACAGCUUCCUGUCAGCAAAGGAAGUUCACCUACAAGCCCAUUUGAUGAGAGAUCAAGGACACGCAAAGUUGUUGACAUAAUCAUACUUAUUGGUCCUGAGAGAUUGUUGGCGCUCAAAUCCAGUUCAGUUAAUAGUAAAGAAUCCCCUUUCAACAGGUCAUUAGGAAUAAACCCUGAGAACCUAUUGUUGCGGAGCCUAAGGACCUGAAGCUCAUAAGCAAAAUCAAAUCCAGGCAAGUCUCCAGAGAGUUGAUUGUAGCUCAAAUCCAAUACGUUCAAGCUUGCAAACAAACGCAGCUCACCUCCACUUAUCAAUGAUCCUGUGAGCUGGUUGUGGCUGAGAUUUAAGUAACUAAUGCUUUCAGAAAGACCAGGCAGUAAUUUCUCAGGACUAGAGCUCACUAGCAUAUUCGAACUAAAAUCAACAUGACUUGCAUUAGUUACAAGAAAAAACUCGCUGUCUAGAUGACCAUCAAACAUGUUCCCAUGCAAGUCAAGAACCUUGAGACCUAAAAUCAAGUCAAACCCCCUUGGAAUUCUUUUAGUGAACCCAUUAGAAGAUAGAUUUAAAUAUAUCAGGUUAUUCAACCUCGUCAAUAGCACAGGCAAUGACCCUGAAAAGGAAUUGCGGCUCAAGUCCAAAGACUGGAUUGAUACAAGCCCCGAAAUUGAAUCUGGAAUAGAGCCAGAGAAGUUGUUCCCAGCCAAUGAGAGGUUCUUCAAGCUCCCUAAUUUACCAAAUCCUGUUGGUAAAGAACCUGAAAAGAGAUUGUUUGACACAUCCAGGAACUCAAGGCUUUUGAAGUCGCCAAUAUUGUCAGGAAUCUUGCCGGUCAUAGAGUUGUUUGACAUAGAGAGUUUGACAAGCUUUGUAAGGUUUGCAAACACACUCAAAUCAGCUUCAGUGGAGAGACCCAAGUUAUCGAGGACAACAGCAGCAACAUUUCCACCAUUACAGACAACACCAUUCCAAGAGGAAGGGCAGCCAUCAAAAUCAAUGGACUCGUCAUUCCAUGAGCUAAGGACAUAACCAGUAGGGUCAUGCUUGAUACCCUUCUUGAAUUCAAGCAAUGCCAAAAUGUCCUGUGAAGGAAGCUGACCCAUGGCAGAAAGGAAAAAUAGGCACAACAUUAGAAGUCUAAAGAGCUUCAUCUUCGCCCUAUCAAUGUCUCCACCAAGGUAAAUGUAGUAGCGUCAAUCAAACAGAAGAGGGAUAAGUGAAUUUCAGACCUUCACAACGAUAUAGAACCAAAAAUGGCUGCUUCAAUAUUAUGAGAAACAAGCCCUUAACAACUAGAGAUCAGCUGAAUCUUCUACACAAGUGAAGCUUUCAAGUUUAAGCAAUAUGAAUCAGCAAUUUCAACUAGGUUUUUACCAUUUAACAGUAAAAAAUAAGAGAGACCCAGCAAAACCAUUUUCUUCUAUCAAAAGACAUUGGCUCCUUCAGAGAACAAAAUGAGAAAAUUUCCCACAUUCAACUAAAAAUCUCAAAAUAAGUUCAGCAACCCAGCACUCCGUACCUGAUACUAGACCAAAUUUUGAGAGACCAUAGCUUCACGAGACUGAUUCUGCUUCAAAUGAGAAAGACGCUGCUUCAAAUAAGAAUAUUGUUUCAGCCACGCAAACUUCACCAAAGCAUUAAAUGUCUAAAAUGGAAAUCCAACGCAAACUGGGUCCCAUUAAGAGAUCUACCAAGGGAGAAAAUGCAGUAUUUAUCUCACCAAGAUCUCAACUUUCAUUAACAAUGUAGGCACAGGAGAAUCAUCCCCUCUAUGAAGACUCCAACUUUAGACAUAGGAGCUUUAGAACAACCUACACAUGGGUUUUAGCUUACCCCCUCAAGCAAACAGUGCACAGAGACAAAGUAAACAGUAAAAGAACAAGCCCAAGAAUAAGAACAAAGAAAUGGGUCAACAAAUGAAGAACCACAUUGUAAUAAAUACAAGGGACCAAAAAUAUUUUAGCUACAAAACCACUAAUACCUGUCCAUUUAGCUGCUUAAACCGUGAACAGUACAAAAACC
RNAcentral lists this unclassified non-coding RNA (4291 nucleotides) under Hevea brasiliensis (rubber tree). The record is from RNAcentral. Lineage: Eukaryota; Viridiplantae; Streptophyta; Magnoliopsida; Malpighiales; Euphorbiaceae.